CCUACGGGUGGCUGCAGUGGGGAAUAUUGGACAAUGGGGGCAACCCCGAUCCAGCCAUGCCGCGUGUGUGAAGAAGGCCCUCGGGUUGUAAAGCACUUUCAGUGAGGAAGAACGCCUGGUGGUUAAUACCCAUCAGGAAAGACAUCACUCACAGAAGAAGCACUGGCUAACUCCGUGCCAGCAGCCGCGGUAAUACGGAGGGUGCGAGCGUUAAUCGGAAUUACUGGGCGUAAAGCGCGCGUAGGUGGCUUGAUAAGCCGGUUGUGAAAGCCCCGGGCUCAACCUGGGAACGGCAUCCGGAACUGUCAAGCUAGAGUGCAGGAGAGGAAGGUAGAAUUCCCGGUGUAGCGGUGAAAUGCGUAGAGAUCGGGAGGAAUACCAGUGGCGAAGGCGGCCUUCUGGACUGACACUGACACUGAGGUGCGAAAGCGUGGGUAGCAAACAGGAUUAGAUACCCCAGUAGUC
This 465-nucleotide ribosomal RNA is filed under the name Vreelandella stevensii. RNAcentral describes it as "partial 16S ribosomal RNA". It matches the Rfam family "Bacterial small subunit ribosomal RNA", at positions 338 to 795 of the family's 1533-position model. Lineage: Bacteria; Pseudomonadati; Pseudomonadota; Gammaproteobacteria; Oceanospirillales; Halomonadaceae. The record is from RNAcentral.